This 343-nucleotide unclassified non-coding RNA is filed under the name Hevea brasiliensis (rubber tree). The record is from RNAcentral. Lineage: Eukaryota; Viridiplantae; Streptophyta; Magnoliopsida; Malpighiales; Euphorbiaceae.
AGAACAAACCUAGUACUUCCACAUUUUCUAUUCAUCUUGCAUAAAGAAAUACUGAGUGCUCAGUGAUGGACAAUAUUUUCUCUCUUGUCGUAUAUAGGUGGUGAUUGAUAUGACAUGAUGAAGACAGAUGAGAUUCCUAUGGUAUACCUGAGGGUGGUCAUUAAAUAGAGAUAGAGAGAAAUGCAGAGAAUAAUAAUGAGCCAGCAAUCAUAAACGAGAGACUACGGCUUCUAAGCAUUUGUUGAUCCACACUCAUCAAAGACAAGUAGCAGUCAACACCAAAUUAAUUGCAAAAGCUUCAUUGAUCUUGGCAAUUCUCUCUAAGGAGCUGCAACACUCAAAU